Molecule: non-coding RNA, 29 nt
Filed under: Mus musculus (house mouse)
Lineage: Eukaryota; Metazoa; Chordata; Mammalia; Rodentia; Muridae
Source: RNAcentral
UGUUUUGGAAUGAAAUCUGUAUGGGGAGG